Molecule: long non-coding RNA, 3043 nt
Filed under: Stylophora pistillata
Lineage: Eukaryota; Metazoa; Cnidaria; Anthozoa; Scleractinia; Pocilloporidae
Description: uncharacterized LOC111334941
Source: RNAcentral
AAACAAUGUCAAGUACAGAAGAAAACGACCCCGAAGACGAAUCACCCAAAAUUUAAGACCAUACCUUCGAGGACGCAGCAAGACUCGUACUGAUUUAGCCAUAAAUGCGGUAAUGGCAGAGAAGAACAAAGUUUCCAUUCCAUCCAAAUGAACAAUAAGUGAACUUUAACAGAGAACAGUGGAGUCCCCACCAAAAAUGAGAGACAGAAAGAUCUGUAAAGCUAUAUCAUAAGUAUGAUAUCACUCAGCAAAGGCUCUCCCAGUGUGUGUGAAGCAAGUCUGAAAAACUAAACGAAGCAGACCUUUUGUUCAUCUGCUUGUUGUUAAACAACGAGAAAGACUACAAUGGGCGAGCUCCAGAGGGGAAUUCAAAAGGCUGUGACACUUUAUUAACAGUUAACAAGGCGUUAAACUCAAACAGCAGGUGAAAGUUACAAGCUAGCAUCCUUGUUUGACAUCUGAUGCGUUCAUCAACAGGAAAACCUCAGCAUUUUGUUCACAACUGGAAUUAACAGGAAACAGCCAGAGCAAGCUACAAUGUCCUUGCAGGGCUCAGGAGAGGACUUCACAUUUCAGAGUUAACGUAACGAUACCAGCAUCUCAGAGAAAGUUUCGAUUGAGUGUUGGAAGUAAUCGGGAAUUGCUUUGGUUUUUUACUUUACCACGCUCUGUCAUUGGUCGAGAAAACUCGUGCUAAAUUUCCGACCAAUCAGAUUAAAAGCUAAAACCAAUCACUACUUCGUCACCAACGUUUUCCCGCGCUUAACGUAAGUUGUUUGGGUUCCGUUUGGGUUCCUAUUGGCUGAUUAAGAAAUUUCUCUUUCAUCUGGUUGGCCGAUGCAAUUCCCUGGUCAUGGUCUCACGACAUUCAAUCGAAAGCUCUCUUGUAGCUAAUAGCCUCGCCAAGCUCUAAGAAUGGUUUGAAAACAUGGACGACACCUUGUUUGCUAAUGAUAACUUGACAAAAUUCUCAUACCACUGCCUGCGACAGCCAUCAGUGGCUCUUUACUGAACACGACAUGAUCAAAAGAACAGCUGGCUGAGCACACUCAAUAAUUACAAGAGAGCAGUCAUAUCUGUACCGCAUUUUCCGCUGCCAAAUCACAGACUAACAAACCUCUUCACAACUUACCUGAUCAUAUUAUACUGGAAAGGAUAACUCAAAUGUUCGCCACUAACAUUGCAGAGAGUGAAAAAUCAGCAAUUCAACAUCACAGAUAACAACCAUGGCCGUCAUUUUGUACUAACAGUUUGUUUUUUAACAUGGUCACUACUUCUGAGUAAACUUCCAAAUAACCGCAAGCACAUUACAUUUCAUUACAUUUGAUAUCCAAACUUAACUUAUGCCAUACCACGUACUUGUUAUGUAUUUCGUAUCAAGUGCCUCAUAACACAAUCAAUAACGAUCUUGCGAUGCAUUUAGCUAUGAUGUAACCUUAUGUUUUUCAGGUUUUAAUUCAGCUAAGAAAGCCAGUACUAAUAGGCUUACCAUAUGAAGGAACUUUGAACCUUUUAAACUAACAUCUGGCAUUGUUUGAUUUUCUUUUCGAGUCUAAUAAGUAAAUACGAAGUGACACGUCAACCACACGUGAGUACUAAGUAUAAAUCAAUAUGCCUCAUUGAUAUAGGCAGACGGGCUUUUCAAAAUAAGAAUAAUCGAAAUUACACGAGCGCUAACGUUCGCUUCUUUGAAAGCUUUGCACCUGAAAGACACGUUUGCCCUUCGUUUCUUUCCAGUCAUUUGAUAAUACUUUUGACUAAUACUUUCUUUCAGGGUUUCUAAUCUUGACAUCUUUCAUCUAGCAAAUGUCCGGUCAGGCUCUAAUAUGCUACUAAUGCUAACUGGAAUGCUGCUUAACUGGUCAGUAUGACACAAAAUAGAUGAUACAAUUAAUACCGCUCACAUUAACACCACCAUAUUGGCCACUCACAUUAACACCACCAUAUUGGCCGUAAUCCAAGCCGUCUAUAUGGUAACAUGGGCGAAGCUUAAUGGCGAUGCAUGUCUUAUAUCAGUACCUUAACAUUAUAUGCAGUUUUUUCUGCGACUAACCCUCGCCAUAAUUGUACCUUUUGUGACUAAUUUCAAUAAUCUUGCUUUAAUUCUCAGACUUAAACAUAUUUAAACGCUAUGCUCCUCUUGCUUCACUUCCUAAUUUCAUAUCUGAUGCCGGGUUAAACGCUAAACAGUAGAGCUAAUACUAAUACUUGUGCUACUUAGAAUCGAUUCCCAAAUGAUUCCACUUCUUAAUCGAUACUUAUACUGAUUCUAUCACCCAUGCUUCUAAUGCCUACGCUAACAUGCUAAUACUAACACUGAUUUUAACAGUGAUACUAAUCCUUUAUCUUAUUAAAUCUAAUUUAGUAAAAAGGCGCCAAAAGUUUUCCAGUAUCUCAUCCGGGAUUUUCUUCCCUCUUUUCUAUGAUUGGUCGAGAAAAUUCGCACCAUCCCCUCAACCAAUCAGAUGUAAAAUUUGUAAUAAUGUUUUCCAGCGUUUCUUGCCACCUACCCUAAAUUCUCAUUGGCCCACUGGUUUUCACGUGAUGAUCACGCUGUGCUUAUUCUAAAAGCAUUAGGAACUUAUGCCCGUAUUAGAAAUAGCAUUAAUGAUUAUAACAUCACUAUCUGGUAAAUGCCUUCUUAAUAAAAUGCAGACACAACUUUUAAUCGGAAACAGUUUGCAUUCUCACUUUGCUACAGCUUAAAUUCCUUCCAUCCAUGAGGCACUAGUACUUAAUUUAACUCUUAAUAUCACCAGGGCCUCCGACCUUGUCAUUGGCAAAAUAAUUGAACACGUACCAUACUAAACGACAUCUAAUCCUAUUCUAAGUGAUUAAUUUUACUAAGAGAAAAUAAUGAGAUUAUUAAUAAUAAUUGUAAUAUUAGUUAUAAUCUUAACAUGUAUUAAUCGCGUUAUCACAUUCCAGUAAUAAAAUAAGAGGUACUCCAUUACGCUAAUACUCACACCACUUUUUUUUUUAUUUCUCAUGAUAGCCUCGAACAGUUCUUUGAUUGCAAAUUAUAAGGAAAAGGCUUAGUUAA